UGUCUUCUAUACAACCAGAACGGUCCAGUGGCGAUCAAUUCAAUGCCCUGAGAAUGAAAUGACCUGGAUGAAUAUUUUCAUAGGCAUUUUGAAAAAGAUGCAUGACAUUUCUCUGCCAAUAUUUUUUGUUAAAUUCUACAGGUUUAUAAAAAGGUGGAACAUUUUAGAAAAACUGGCAUUUUUUUGUUUUGCUUACAUUCUACACUUUACGACAAUCGAUGUCCCCAAAACAAACAGGUACUUUGGCUGACAAUGAUCUACGUUAUCAGGGCAGAAUUCAAACUAGAUCAGCCAAACACUGCUGAGUAAUAUUAAUUUUCCAAACACACAGUCUGGACAGUGGGUAUGAAUUCCUGCACUUUUAAUACAGAAGCCAAAUGAGUAUAUGCAGAACAAAACACAUGAUGUCAAUAAGACAAAUAAAGAACAUUGGUUGCAGUCACUUGUGACAUCAUCUCACCAAGCAACAUGUGAGGAGGAACAGCUGACUCUUGUUCCCUCACUGAAGGCUGAAAAUGAACUGCCUCAACUCGAACGAAGACGACUGAUGUUCUGAAAGAAAUACAGUAUGUGACAUCUGACAGGUCCUCUGAUCAAGAUGCUCUUCACACAGCAUCAACACUGAACCCUCUCAUCAAAAGGUGCACAUCUCCUUGAAGUUGAGUACGCUUGACCCAGCGAAAAAUGAAAAGUGGCUCUUACCUGUGUUUCUUCAUGGCUGGAGUGAGCAAGGAGCUGCUCACCUGAAAAUGAUUGAAAUUCAGUCUUAACUGGUUUGUGCACAUGUGAAAAACACAAUAUCAUAGUCAUAUCAUAGUCAUAUCAUAGUUUCUUGUCAUCUGUAUUCCUUCUUGCUCCACAAUUAUUUCAUAUAUCUCUCUGUUGGAUUUGCUUUGUGUAUUAGUACUUUUUUCUAUAGUUUUGGUGUAUUCCUGGUGAUUCUACUCAUUCCCUAGUCUGAUCAUCGUAAGUUGUGGUGCUGACGUAUGCCUUUUGCUUUUAACCAUAGUUUUCAGUUAUUUUUUUUGCUACCGUUUUGGCUGCUUCGAGGUCCAACCUGUUAGAAAGAGUUUAGCCAAAAGAAAUGGACCCCCAGGAAUCUGAAGAUUUGCACCAAGCUAUUCUCUGCCAUUGUCCAGAGCUUGGACAGCAAAGUAGGUCCUUACAAGAGAUGAAGGAUGCUUUUCAAACCUUACUUCUAGUAUGGUCAUUCUGAUGGCACAUGUGGACAAAUUUUGUCAACACUUAGUCAAAUGGUCCUCAUCCCAUCUCCCACUGGUGAUGCUCAGCCAGCAGCUCUGACCCCAACAACCCACCAUCUUCUGGAGGAUGCUUGUCCAGCGGGAGCCAUCCAACGGUGCUCAUCCCACAGCUACCCUUUGACCUUCCUUUUUUCGGCACUAGUCCUGCAGCCAUCACCAAAUCCCACUCCAAGGGCGCACGGCAUAGACCUCAAAACAUGCCUGGUAUGGUCUGCCACACUAGUCAUCUUCUUCUCUGGUAGGUUGUAUUCGGUAUGCCUGGGCAUUCCAUCCUAUCAUGUCCUUCUGUCUGAAUGACCAGCCGGAGCGCCUCAUAUCUGGUGUCCCAGACGCCCACCAGACUGGCCCCAAUUGGAAGAAUUGUUGGCCAUCUGCAACCUAUGUGCCUCCAGAAUUCUCAUUAAUUUGGGUAUGUUCCUGGCCAC
Molecule: long non-coding RNA, 1687 nt
Organism: Syngnathoides biaculeatus (alligator pipefish)
Lineage: Eukaryota; Metazoa; Chordata; Actinopteri; Syngnathiformes; Syngnathidae
Exons: 3
Source: RefSeq, a predicted model, not a curated record